Molecule: ribosomal RNA, 431 nt
Filed under: uncultured bacterium
Lineage: Bacteria
Description: partial 16S ribosomal RNA
Rfam family: Bacterial small subunit ribosomal RNA
Source: RNAcentral
AACGAACGCUGGCGGCAGGCUUAACACAUGCAAGUCGAACGCCCCGCAAGGGGAGUGGCCGACGGGUGAGUAACGCGUGGGAAUCUACCCAUCCCUACGGAAUAACGCAUGGAAACGUGUGCUAAUACCGUAUACGCCCUACGGGGGAAAGAUUUAUCGGGGAUGGAUGAGCCCGCGUUGGAUUAGCUAGUUGGUGGGGUAAAGGCCUACCAAGGCGACGAUCCAUAGCUGGUCUGAGAGGAUGAUCAGCCACAUUGGGACUGAGACACGGCCCAAACUCCUACGGGAGGCAGCAGUGGGGAAUAUUGGACAAUGGGCGCAAGCCUGGUCCAGCCAUGCCGCGUGAGUGAUGAAGGCCUUAGGGUUGUAAAGCUCUUUCACCGGAGAAGAUAAUGACGGUAUCCGGAGAAGAAGCCCCGGCUAACUUCGUG